This 303-nucleotide small RNA is filed under the name Oryza sativa Japonica Group (Japanese rice). RNAcentral describes it as "sRNA Os06g0286400". Lineage: Eukaryota; Viridiplantae; Streptophyta; Magnoliopsida; Poales; Poaceae. The record is from RNAcentral.
UUGCUGCGUGACAUCCAGUCCUACACAAUCUUGAUGAAAACGAGUUCCAUGGGUUGCAAAAUUACUAUCCUUUAAUUUUGCUAUAUACAUACUAUCCAUAAGACCUUUUAGAGAUGCCCAGACUCUACUGCGGUGCUAGAUUGGGCAUCUCUUAAAACUUUGAGGUGUGUGUAUGUAUGUGUGAGGGUUAUCAGAUGCACAUUCGGAUAAAUGAACUUCUGAUUGUAAUUCUAGCCUUCCGUCCUGUGACAUUCUGUGAUGUAGUCGUUAUUCAGUGAUAUAAUGAAUCUCACCUAUUGAUAU